UACGUAGGUGGCGAGCGUUGUCCGGAUUUACUGGGCGUAAAGCGCGCGCAGGCGGCUUUGCAAGUCCGAUGUGAAAGCUCCCGGCUUAACUGGGAAAGUGCAUCGGAAACUGCUCGGCUGGAAGGUGGGAGAGGGUAGCGGAAUUCCCGGUGUAGUGGUGAAAUGCGUAGAUAUCGGGAGGAACACCAGUGGCGAAAGCGGCGACCUGGCCCAUUCUUGACGCUGAGGCGCGAAAGCUAGGGGAGCAAACAGG
Molecule: ribosomal RNA, 253 nt
Filed under: uncultured bacterium
Lineage: Bacteria
Description: partial 16S ribosomal RNA
Rfam family: Bacterial small subunit ribosomal RNA
Source: RNAcentral